This 372-nucleotide ribosomal RNA is filed under the name Triticum aestivum (bread wheat). Its description in RNAcentral is "partial small subunit ribosomal RNA". The record is from RNAcentral. Lineage: Eukaryota; Viridiplantae; Streptophyta; Magnoliopsida; Poales; Poaceae.
AUGGGAAAAUUUAGAGCUGCGAUCGACAUAGCGGGGCUGCAUGAAAUCAAAUGCAAGGAUGGAAGAUUCACGUGGAGUAACGAGAGGAAGGGUUUCAUGCUUGUUAGCAUCGAUAAGUUCUUCUGCAACAUUUGUUUGGAGGAGUUGUUGCCAUCUUUCCUCCUGAUGGCUGCAUGGACAUCAUGCUCUCAUCACUCCCCCCUCCUAGCUAGUGCUACCACCCUCAUCGGCUUACGCGGUCCCGUUUUGAAUCCUUUCGGCUGUGCUUCCCCCACUUUCACAAAGAUGGUCAUCAAGGCAUGGCAACGCCCGGGCAGCACACCUCAACCUUCGCGUCGGAAGAUUAAGAUGCAGAGGACAACGAGGGUGUAA